AGAGUUUGAUCCUGGCUCAGAUUGAACGCUGGCGGCAGGCUUAACACAUGCAAGUCGAGCGGUAACAGGGGGUGCUUGCACCCCGCUGACGAGCGGCGGACGGGUGAGUAAUGCAUAGGAAACUGCCCAGUAGUGGGGGAUAGCCCGGGGAAACCCGGAUUAAUACCGCGUACGCCCUUCGGGGGAAAGCAGGGGAUCUUCGGACCUUGCGCUAUUGGAUGUGCCUAUGUCGGAGUAGCUAGUUGGUGGGGUAAAGGCCUACCAAGGCGACGAUCCGUAGCUGGUCUGAGAGGAUGAUCGGCCACAUCGGGACUGAGACACGGCCCGAACUCCUACGGGAGGCAGCAGUGGGGAAUAUUGGACAAUGGGGGCAACCCUGAUCCAGCCAUGCCGCGUGUGUGAAGAAGGCUUUCGGGUUGUAAAGCACUUUCAGUGAGGAGGAAAACUCUGCGACUAAUACUCGUAGGGCUUGACGUUACUCACAGAAGAAGCACC
This 495-nucleotide ribosomal RNA is filed under the name uncultured Gammaproteobacteria bacterium. Its description in RNAcentral is "bacterial SSU rRNA". It matches the Rfam family "Bacterial small subunit ribosomal RNA", at positions 8 to 494 of the family's 1533-position model. Lineage: Bacteria; Pseudomonadati; Pseudomonadota; Gammaproteobacteria. The record is from RNAcentral.